This 180-nucleotide ribosomal RNA is filed under the name uncultured Glomeromycotina. RNAcentral describes it as "partial small subunit ribosomal RNA". The record is from RNAcentral. Lineage: Eukaryota; Fungi; Glomeromycota.
GGAUUAGUGCGCCGGUCGUGCCUUCGGUAUGUACUGGUGUUACUGGUUCCUACCUUCUGACGAACCGUCAUGUCAUUAAUUUGGUGUGGCGGGGAAUCAGGACUGUUACUUUGAAAAAAUUAGAGUGUUUAAAGCAGGCUCGCGCUUGAAUACAUUAGCAUGGAAUAAUGAAAUAGGACG